RNAcentral lists this long non-coding RNA (318 nucleotides) under Nicotiana tabacum (common tobacco). RNAcentral describes it as "long non-coding RNA (NTAB_LNC018048)". Lineage: Eukaryota; Viridiplantae; Streptophyta; Magnoliopsida; Solanales; Solanaceae. The record is from RNAcentral.
ACUAAUAACCAACCAACAAUCCUUGGCGUUGUUGUGCUGGGAGACCUCAGCCAACGUAAAGACCUUAGUUUCACCGCCCAUUAUUAUUAUUAAACAAACAAGAAAGAAAGACUGUAGAGCAGAGAUGAAACAAAGAUCGAAAUUGGGCUUGAUUUGUCUCUUCAAGACCUGUGUAAAGGCUUGAAGAGAUACAAGGCUGAGGGUGUCUCUUUUGCGGAGGAAACGAGGCGUUUUGGUGAGUGGGAGCAGAGUGGAGAAGGUGGUUGUUUUGGGUUAAUAAUUAAUAAUAAAAAGAGAGGUUAGAAUUCAAGUUGGAUG